UUUUCAUAAUAAGUUUAGUGACACUAUAAGAAGUCGGUCGACUAUUUGCAUAAUACUAUUAUUAGGUUGCAAAAAACAUAUAAAGAGAUAUAUUGUUUAUCAUGACAAAGAAAGAAUGAAAAUAUCUAAAUGAAGCAAUAGUGAAAGAGAAAAUCGUUUUCUCUCUCUCUUCUCUCUGUUCCCUAUCUUCAUCUUUCACAGAGAAAGAGGAGAGAUGAAACUUGCUCGCCGGUUCCGUUCACCGGCUUAGGUUUCCCGUGGAUCAGGCUCCAGUUCCGACAACGACGUCUUCUACAGAGUCGAUUGGUCGGCUUUUGGCUCCGACGGCGCACCAGCAGGUCCGGUGUAGUCGUUGGCUUCUGGCUCCGAGUCUCACCUUCUCCUCCGGUGAUGACGUCGGGUUUUCUCCGAGGCUUUCCCAGUUUCAGUUUCUUCUUCGCUUCCUUGGUUCUCUUGUUCCAAUCAACUUCCGGUGUCCACAAUCGAUUGCUUCUUCCUCCCUUGGUUAAGGCUGAUGCAUCUUCGGGCUUUCUUCAAUCAUUAAAGGUGUUUGUAGCUACAUGCAGGAAAAGCGAUUGGUUGGAAGCGGUUGAUUUUGAUUGAAAUCUUUAAUUUUGAAGCGUAGAACUCUUGACUCGAUUUUUUGGCGUUUGUGGUGUUUCGACUGCUAGAGUCAUCUCGACGGCUUCUUCUCUUCGACGUCCUGUUUCUGGUGUGUCCGGUGGAUCGGCGGCGAGUUCUUCCGGCGAUGACUCUCCAGUCGUGGUGUCGUUGGUUUGGUCACGUGUCGGAGUGUGUGCGACGGCUCGCUUUGUUUGAGCCUUACGGUGAAAUUCAUUGGUUUGGGUGUGGUUUUAAAUCGUCAAUGGUGUUUCCGGUGGAUUUGGAUGAGAUCUCGGGACUGUCCUCGAUGGAUCUCUCCGUUGGAAUAGUUUGGUGAUGAAGACGGUACGGUGUUUUGUUCAGGUGUGUUCCGGCGAAACUAGUGGCCGUUCUUCAUCUUUUCCGGCUAACCUUGGCGUUUAGGGUACCGAUGUGGUGAUCGGCUGACGCGUGUCUCCGUGAGGCGAGAGCCUCAACACGUGGGCAGGCAAGAGUUUGGCUGGACGUGUGUACAGUUGUGGCACCGUUCAGUUUAUGAGCUUGGGCCAUUGGGUUUGUUUCGGUUUGUCUUUGAUGGGCUUUAGUAUAUUUGUUUUGUCGGGUUUUAUGCUCUUUUGUAAUGGGUUUUCUGGGCUUGACCCAUCAAUAAAAUUAAAUAGAUGGAAAAAAAAAAGAAUGAAAAUAUCUAAACGUGAAAGCGAUAUAUUAUGACUUAGGUAAGGUGGAAAGUGGAACCAAACUUAUUGUGAUGUGAAAACAGAAAUAAAGUAUGGAAGCAU
This 1382-nucleotide long non-coding RNA is filed under the name Brassica rapa (field mustard). Its description in RNAcentral is "long non-coding RNA (BRAP_LNC001703)". The record is from RNAcentral. Lineage: Eukaryota; Viridiplantae; Streptophyta; Magnoliopsida; Brassicales; Brassicaceae.